AUUGAACGCUGGCGGCAGGCCUAACACAUGCAAGUCGAACGGUAACAGGAAGAAGCUUGCUUCUUUGCUGACGAGUGGCGGACGGGUGAGUAAUGUCUGGGAAACUGCCUGAUGGAGGGGGAUAACUACUGGAAACGGUAGCUAAUACCGCAUAACGUCGCAAGACCAAAGAGGGGGACCUUCGGGCCUCUUGCCAUCGGAUGUGCCCAGAUGGGAUUAGCUAGUAGGUGGGGUAACGGCUCACCUAGGCGACGAUCCCUAGCUGGUCUGAGAGGAUGACCAGCCACACUGGAACUGAGACACGGUCCAGACUCCUACGGGAGGCAGCAGUGGGGAAUAUUGCACAAUGGGCGCAAGCCUGAUGCAGCCAUGCCGCGUGUAUGAAGAAGGCCUUCGGGUUGUAAAGUACUUUCAGCGGGGAGGAAGGGAGUAAAGUUAAUACCUUUGCUCAUUGACGUUACCCGCAGAAGAAGCGCCGGCUAACUCCGUG
This 490-nucleotide ribosomal RNA is filed under the name uncultured bacterium. Its description in RNAcentral is "partial 16S ribosomal RNA". It matches the Rfam family "Bacterial small subunit ribosomal RNA", at positions 30 to 507 of the family's 1533-position model. The record is from RNAcentral.